Molecule: long non-coding RNA, 253 nt
Filed under: Elaeis guineensis (African oil palm)
Lineage: Eukaryota; Viridiplantae; Streptophyta; Magnoliopsida; Arecales; Arecaceae
Description: long non-coding RNA (EGUI_LNC017356)
Source: RNAcentral
AGGAUCUUGAUAUCGGUAGGCCUAUGAGUGGGUCUCCUUGAAAGAUUUUGAGAGAACUUUUGUGAGAGUAGCUUCUAAUUGAGAGAGGUUUGUGUAUGGAGAGUUGAGAGUGCGAGGAUCUCCUCUUGUACUUAUUUUCUCUUUCAUAGUGAGGCUUGCAUACCCCGUGGAGGUUACACUUGGGCUAUUCCAUGUUCUUGAUUGCAUGUUCCUAUUUUAUUUCUUCUUUCUUUCUAUCACAAUGGAUGGUAUC